UAGCCUAGUGGUUAAAGCUAUGGAUCGCCGAUCCAGAGACGGCGGGUUCGAUUCCCGU
Aedes albopictus (Asian tiger mosquito) is the source of this 58-nucleotide non-coding RNA. The record is from Rfam. NCBI's taxonomy places the organism in Eukaryota, Metazoa, Arthropoda, Insecta, Diptera, Culicidae.